Molecule: ribosomal RNA, 404 nt
Filed under: uncultured bacterium
Lineage: Bacteria
Description: bacterial SSU rRNA
Rfam family: Bacterial small subunit ribosomal RNA
Source: RNAcentral
UAGGGAAUAUUGCACAAUGAGCGAAAGCUUGAUGCAGCAACGCCGCGUGCGCGAUGACGGCCUUCGGGUUGUAAAGCGCUUUUCGGGGAGAUGAGGAAGGACAGUAUCCCCGGAAUAAGUCUCGGCUAACUACGUGCCAGCAGCCGCGGUAACACGUAGGAGGCAAGCGUUAUCCGAAUUUACUGGGCGUAAAGCGCGUGCAGGCGGUUCGGUAAGUUGGAUGUGAAAUCUCCCGGCUCAACUGGGAGGGGACGUUCAAUACUGUCGGAGGUGAGGACGAUAGAGGGAGGGGGAAGGCCCGGUGUAGUGGGGAAAUGCGUAGAUAUCGGGAGGAACACCAGUGGCGAAAGCGGCCUCCUGGAUCGUUCCUGACGCGCAGACGCGAAAGCGAGGGGAGCGAACGG